GACGAACGCUGGCGGCGCGCCUAACACAUGCAAGUCGAACGGGAUGAAUUUUCUCACUGAGUUUUUUGCGAGUCAGCCGGAAGCGCCAUUGAUGCGAAGCAUCAAUUAGGCUUAUUCCAGUAAGACUGACACAAAGGGCAAAAGACUGAGUGAGGAAAUUCAUUCAGUGGCGAACGGGUGAGUAACGCGUGAGGAACCUGCCUCAAAGAGGGGGACAACAGUUGGAAACGACUGCUAAUACCGCAUAAGCCCACGGCUCGGCAUCGAGCAGAGGGAAAAGGAGCGAUCCGCUUUGAGAUGGCCUCGCGUCCGAUUAGCUGGUUGGUGAGGUAACGGCCCACCAAGGCGACGAUCGGUAGCCGGACUGAGAGGGUUGAACGGGCCACAUUGGGACUGAGACACGGCCCAGACUCCUAC
Molecule: ribosomal RNA, 417 nt
Filed under: uncultured bacterium
Lineage: Bacteria
Description: bacterial SSU rRNA
Rfam family: Bacterial small subunit ribosomal RNA
Source: RNAcentral